AGCUCCAACUAAACUCAUCUCUAAUUCUUAAACUCUGUCUCUGUUCCGUCCCAUUCGUUCUCCAUUCAUCGUAUUUUGCAAAAUGGAGACGAACUUGUGGGAGUGGGACCACUGGGUCGAAGCAGCACUCUCAAAGCUUCAAAUUUAAAAAGUGCUUCGCUCCCUAAGGCCCAUUUACGUCUCCUCCAAUGAACGACAGAAAGAACAAUCUCCACCCGUCGAAGAACGUGACGAUGAUUACGAGGUGUUCGAUGAAAUGCAACCCUGGGAUCGAUCUGCCGUUGAAAUAUCAAUCUCUGACUCCACCUUUCACAGAUGGCUCCAUGGCAUUCCUUGUUCUGGAGAUGAGAUUGUCUCCAGAGAUGAGUAUCUAAUGGUAAGGCCACCACAUGCUCAAGGCAGUUCAAGAAGCUACUUCUGUUAAAUCUCCUAAUAAGAUUGUAAACUUCAGAUGCAUGGCUGACACCAUUUAUGAGUGUAUUAUACCUUGGAUAUUUUGCAUCUUGUCUACGAAACCUUACUGCUCUGUGGUUCACAGUCCUCUGAGUGACUUCAACGAGUCUUUUGGAAAUAUUUGCUAGGUGUUUUGCUUGUUUAGUAUGGAUGGAGACUUUGCACCAAUGGUUGAACUUGUGAAGCUUCGCAAGAAGUAUGGCUUUUUGUUAGUCUUAAAUGAUGUAAGUUUUCUUGAUUGUCCAGUGUUCUACCCUUUUGUUUGACUUCAAGGGUUGGGUUAAGCGGUAUAGACUUUUGGAAUCAACCAAGAGGUUAGGCGUAAAACACUCCCGAAAGAACUUACUUGGAUACAUCCAAUAAGUUUCUUGUAAUCCCCAGUUUAAAAUUCAUGAAAAUUUAAGAAAGGUUGGGGAAU
Molecule: long non-coding RNA, 871 nt
Organism: Pistacia vera
Lineage: Eukaryota; Viridiplantae; Streptophyta; Magnoliopsida; Sapindales; Anacardiaceae
Exons: 3
Source: RefSeq, a predicted model, not a curated record